RNAcentral lists this ribosomal RNA (220 nucleotides) under uncultured bacterium. Its description in RNAcentral is "partial 16S ribosomal RNA". It matches the Rfam family "Bacterial small subunit ribosomal RNA", at positions 524 to 746 of the family's 1533-position model. The record is from RNAcentral.
UACGUAGGGGGCAAGCGUUGUCCGGAAUCAUUGGGCGUAAAGAGCGUGUAGGCGGCUUGGUAAGUCCGCUGUGAAAGUCCAGGGCUCAACCCUGGAAAGCCGGUGGAAACUGUCAAGCUUGAGUCCGGAAGAGGCGGGUGGAAUCCUGGUGUAGCGGUGAAAUGCGCAGAUAUCAGGAGGAACACCGAUGGCGAAGGCAGGUCUCUGGGCCGACUACUGC